AGGUCUUGAAGUGCUCAUCGAGCCUGAUACUCGACAUUUUUCAGGAAAAAUUGAGAUCUGAUCGCUUCGUUGAGGAGAUCCCAAGAAUCUAUUCGGAUCCUGUUGGCAUGAAAGUCAGCAUAUUGGGUUUGCCACUAUAAUUUUGCAUCUCCACCCAGAUACAUAGUAGCUGUGGUUAUCUUUCUAGCUUCGUCUUCAAUCGAAGCUGCGAAAAAGUAC
Molecule: long non-coding RNA, 219 nt
Filed under: Olea europaea (common olive)
Lineage: Eukaryota; Viridiplantae; Streptophyta; Magnoliopsida; Lamiales; Oleaceae
Description: long non-coding RNA (OEUR_LNC014217)
Source: RNAcentral